GACUAAGGUUCGGCUCGAGCGUCAGCGAGAGAGCGUUGCCGCAGGCAACGACCCGAAGGGCGAAGCGCGCAGCGCUGAGUAAUCCUUCCCCCACCACCA
RNAcentral lists this small RNA (99 nucleotides) under Escherichia coli. Its description in RNAcentral is "partial RtT sRNA". It matches the Rfam family "RtT RNA", at positions 34 to 130 of the family's 130-position model. From Rfam's summary of the family: This family represents a bacterial cis-regulatory element known as RtT RNA. The exact function of RtT is unknown although it is thought that it may be involved in changing the cellular response in relation to amino acid starvation. The record is from RNAcentral. Lineage: Bacteria; Pseudomonadati; Pseudomonadota; Gammaproteobacteria; Enterobacterales; Enterobacteriaceae.